RNAcentral lists this transfer-messenger RNA (398 nucleotides) under bovine gut metagenome. It matches the Rfam family "transfer-messenger RNA". Rfam says of the family: Bacterial tmRNA, also known as 10Sa RNA or SsrA, is named for its dual tRNA and mRNA-like properties. Its role is to liberate the mRNA from a stalled ribosome. To accomplish this part of the tmRNA is used as a reading frame that ends in a translation stop signal. The record is from RNAcentral.
GGGGCUGCCUGGUUUUGACAGCGGGCAGGAGAGGUAUGUAAGCAUGCAGUGCAUUGGUCGGUAGCACUCUAAUCUGACGGAUCAACAAUUAAUUGGCGAAAACAACUACGCUCUCGCUGCUUAAUCGAAGUACAGUAGAUUGAAGCUCAAUCCCGUCACAAGGUGAUGGGACGAGACAUCACCCGGAAGCUCUGGUCCCGAAGCUCGUCGAUACGGUGGUGCAGGUAAAUCGGGAAUCGCCCUAGGAGGCCUCGCUCCAAAGGUUAAAUCUUCAGAGGAUAAGGUUCAGACCGGGUAGCUCCGGCCAAGUCUGUUCACGAAAAGCAAGCGGAGAUAAGCAUGUAGAAAGCAUAUGGCUUCCCCGUUUGGACGAGGGUUCGACUCCCUCCAGCUCCACU